GAGGCUACCGCUAUUGGAGUUCGAUUAAGCCAUGCGAGUCGAGAGUCUUAGGGACUCGGCGUACCGCUCAGUAACACGUGGGUAACCUGCCCUAUGCUGGGGAAUAACCUCGGGAAACUGAGAAUAAUGCCCCAUAGUUCACUACGCCUGGAACGGUGAGUGGAUGAAAGCUCCGGCGGCAUAGGAUGGGCCUGCGGCGUAUCAGGUCGUAGGGGGUGUAACGUACCCUCUAGCCAUCGACGCGUACGGGUGUUGGGAGACAUAGCCCGGAGAUGGAUUCUGAGACACGAAUCCAGACCCUACGGGGUGCAGCAGGCGCGAAAACUUGGCAAUGCGAGAAAUCGUGACCAGGGAACUCCAAGUGGCUGGGGUAAGACCCAGUCUUUUCUUGACUCUUCAAAGGUCUUGGAAUAAGAGGUGGGUAAGGACGGUGCCAGCCGCCGCGGUAAUACCGGCGCCUCAAGUGGUAGUCGAUUUUAUUGGGCCUAAAACGUCCGUAGCCUGUUUGGUACAUUCGUGGGUAAAUCAACCAGCUCAACUGGUUGAAUUCUGCGAGCACGGCCAGACUUGGGACCGGGAGAGGUGUGGGGUACGCUCAGGGUAGGGGUAAAAUCCUGUCAUCCUGAGCGGACCACCUGUUGCGAAGGCGCCACACUAGAACGGAUCCGACGGUCAGGGACGAAGCCUAGGGGCACGAACCGGAUUAGAUACCCGGGUAGUCCUAGGUGUAAACGCUGUGGACUUGGUGUUGGGGAUGAUCCGAUCAUUCUCAGUGCCGAAGCGAAGGUGAUAAGUCCACUGCCUGGGGAGUACGGUCGCAAGGCUGAAACUUAAAGGAAUUGGCGGGGGAGCACCGC
This 857-nucleotide ribosomal RNA is filed under the name uncultured archaeon. Its description in RNAcentral is "bacterial SSU rRNA". It matches the Rfam family "Archaeal small subunit ribosomal RNA", at positions 20 to 882 of the family's 1478-position model. The record is from RNAcentral.